RNAcentral lists this small RNA (608 nucleotides) under Pan troglodytes (chimpanzee). RNAcentral's name for it is "retained intron". The record is from RNAcentral. Lineage: Eukaryota; Metazoa; Chordata; Mammalia; Primates; Hominidae.
CCCCACUGCUGGGGAAGGGCCCCAUUCAGCUGCCCCUGGCUAGCAGAAGCCCGUGCCCACCCACAGCGGCCACCCCCUAGAGGCUGCCUGGGCCCUGCCUGCAGCGACCACUGUCACCCCCUCGUCCCCCCCAGGUACUCUGCUGGACACGAACGGCCUGUACGAUGAGGAUGUGUGCACCCCCGACAACCUGCAGAACAAGAGCUCGGGCCAGAAGGGGCGGAAGGAGCUGCUGAAGGGCAACGGCCGGCGCAUCGACUACAUGCUGCACGCAGAGGAGGGGCUGUGCCCAGACUGGAAGGCCGUGAGUCAGGCGGGCCCAGCAGCCAGGGCCAUGCAAAGAGAGAGCAGGGCCCGGGCCCUGCAGCUCUCGACAGCCGCUCCCUGAAACCCCACGCCCCAGGCCACUCUUACAAUGAUACCCAUCACUCCCUCAGACCCUUAGGGCCCCAGGUCCUCCAGGCCCCAUCCCUCUGACUGCAGGAAGGUCACAGCCCACCCCAGCCCCGGGGCCUCACUUUGGGGAUCCCCAGGCCGCUCCCUGCAAGAUACCCUUGGAAUCUGACCAGGCUGUUUCUCCCCUCUCCCACUCACCCCAGGAGGUGGAA